This 1141-nucleotide long non-coding RNA is filed under the name Bos taurus (domestic cattle). Its description in RNAcentral is "long non-coding RNA NONBTAT022624". Lineage: Eukaryota; Metazoa; Chordata; Mammalia; Artiodactyla; Bovidae. The record is from RNAcentral.
GGGAAAUAUUGACCAAGAACUUUCAAUGCCUUCCAGUAAGUAGGAUAUAGGCUCUGCUGCCUUGGGGAGUGAUUUAUUCAGCACAAAGAAAUCUUCACAAUUAAGAUUUCAGUAGCAGAUUUAAAAUAUAUUUGACUCAUGACCACAUUCUUGUUUCCAGGUGCUGUUAUCUUUUAAAAGUUAGCCCACCUUGCUAGAGAAAUUGUUUAUCAUUUAACCUUUCAGGCUAUUUUAAAUGCUUACAGCCUGGGAUGGUGAGGGAAGAAAGGAGAGAGAGAGAUUAAUCAUUGAAGAAAAUGGCCUAUGAAGUUCAGGUUUUAUUGUCGAUGAUAUUUUUAAAAAGAAAUUAAAAACAAAAACUUUCGUGCUGAGUUUUUGAUGGUUUAAAGAAGUGUUUGUGCUUGCUACUUAAUAACAUGAUGUUUCAUCCACCUCAUUAGAACUGAUUCAAAUGUAUUCUUUUUAAUGGCUGAGUAAUACUCCAUUGUGUAUAUGUACCACAGCUUUCUUAUCCAUUCAUCUGCUGAUGGACAUCUAGGUUGCUUCCAUGUCUUGGCUAUUAUAAACAGUGCUGCGAUGAACAUUGGGGUACACGUGUCUCUUUCCCUUCUGGUUUCCUCAGUGUGUAUGCCCAGCAGUGGGGUUGCUGGAUCAUAAGGCAGUUCUAUUUCCAGUUUUUUAAGGAAUCUCCACACUGUUCUCCAUAGUGGCUGUACUAGUUUGCAUUCCCACCAACAGUGUAGAAAGAUGGUAACAAUAACCCGGUGUACGAGACAGCAAAAGAGACACUGAUGUAUAGAACAGUCUUAUGGACUCUGUGGGAGAGGGAGAGGGUGGGAAGAUUUGGGAGAAUGGCAAUGAAACAUGUAAAAUAUCAUGUAGGAAACGAGUUGCCAGUCCAGGUUCGAUGCACGAUGCUGGAUGCUUGGGGCUGGUGCAAUGGGACGGCCCAGAGGGAUGGUAUGGGGAGGGAGGAGGGAGGAGGGUUCGGGAUGGGGAACACAUGUAUACCUGUGGUGGAUUCAUUUUGAUAUUUGGCAAAACUAAUACAAUUAUGUAAAGUUUAAAAAUAAAAUAAAAUUGGAAGAAUUAAAAAAAAUAAAAUAAAAUAAAAAGGACUUCAAGUGAAAAAAAAAAAAAA